GCUGGCGGCGUGCCUAACACAUGCAAGUCGAACGGGGAACCUUUAGAAGAUUUCUUCGGAAUGAAACUAAAGGAAUCCUAGUGGCGGAUGGGUGAGUAACGCGUGAGCAACCUACCCCCUAGUCUGGGACAACAUCGGGAAACCGUUGCUAAUCCGGGAUGAGCUUAAAAGUAUGCAUAUACCUUUAAGCAAAGGUGGCCUCUAUUUAUAAGCUACCGCUAGGGGAUGGGCUCGCGUCCCAUUAGCUAGUUGGUGAGAUAACAGCUCACCAAGGCAACGAUGGGUAGCCGGCCUGAGAGGGUGACCGGCCACACUGGGACUGAGACACGGCCCAGACUCCUACGGGAGGCAGCAGUGGGGAAUUUUGCGCAAUGGGGGGAACCCUGACGCAGCGACGCCGCGUGAGCGAAGAAGGCCUUCGGGUCGUAAAGCUCUGUCAUCGGGGAAGAAGACUAUUUACUAAAAAGGUAAAGAGGUGACGGUACCCGAGGAGGAAGCCACGGCUAACUACGUGCCAGCAGCCGCGGUAAUACGUAGGUGGCGAGCGUUGUCCGGAAUAACUGGGCGUAAAGGGCGUGUAGGCGGUUAAACAAGUCAGAAGUGAAAAACUCGGGCUCAACCUGAGUCUUGCUUCUGAAACUGUAUGAUUUGAGGGCAGGAGAGGUAAGUGGAAUUCUUGUGUAAGCGUGAAAUGGGGUAGAUAUUGGGAGAAACACCAGUGGUGAAGGCGACUUACUGGCCUGACCCUGACGCUGAGGCGCGAAAGCGUGGGUAGCAAACAGGAUUAGAUACCCUGGUAGUCCACGCCGUAAACGCUGGGUACUAGGUGUUGGGAGUGAGAGCUCUCAGUGCUGAAGCAAACGCAUUAAGUACCCCGCCUGGGGAGUACGGCCGCAAGGCUGAAACUCAAAAGAAUUGACGGGGGCCCGCACAAGCGGUGGAGCAUGUGGUUUAAUUCGACGCAACGCGAAGAACCUUACCAAGGCUUGACAUCCUCUGCUAGCUCUAGAGAUAGAGAAUUCCUUUUUUGGACAGAGAGACAGGUGGUGCAUGGUUGUCGUCAGCUCGUGUCGUGAGAUGUUGGGUUAAGUCCCGCAACGAGCGCAACCCUCAUCGUAUGUUGCCAGCAUUAAGUUGGGGACUCAUACGAGACUGCCGGUGAAAAACCGGAGGAAGGUGGGGAUGACGUCAAAUCAUCAUGCCCCUUAUGUCUUGGGCUACACACGUGCUACAAUGGCCAGUACAAGGGCAGCGAAGCCGCGAGGCGGAGCAAAUCUCAAGAAAGCUGGUCUAAGUUCGGAUUGCAGGCUGCAACUCGCCUGCAUGAAGCCGGAAUCGCUAGUAAUCGCAGGUCAGCAUACUGCGGUGAAUACGUUCCCGGGCCUUGUACACACCGCCCGUCACACCACGAAAGCCGGAAACACCCGAAGCCG
Molecule: ribosomal RNA, 1433 nt
Filed under: uncultured bacterium
Lineage: Bacteria
Description: 16S ribosomal RNA
Rfam family: Bacterial small subunit ribosomal RNA
Source: RNAcentral